This 254-nucleotide ribosomal RNA is filed under the name uncultured bacterium. Its description in RNAcentral is "partial 16S ribosomal RNA". It matches the Rfam family "Bacterial small subunit ribosomal RNA", at positions 524 to 776 of the family's 1533-position model. The record is from RNAcentral.
UACGUAGGUGGCAAGCGUUGUCCGGAUUUAUUGGGUUUAAAGGGUGCGUAGGCGGUCUAAUAAGUCAGUGCUGAAAUAUCCCGGCUUAACCGGGAGGGUGGCAUUGAUACUGUUGGACUUGAGUAGAGUUGAGGUUGGCGGAAUUGACGGUGUAGCGGUGAAAUGCUUAGAUAUCGUCAAGAACACCGAUAGUGAAGACAGCUAACUAAGCUCAAACUGACGCUGAGGCACGAAAGUGUGGGGGAUCAAACAGG